CGGCGUGCCUAACACAUGCAAGUCGAGCGGCAUUCGGAUGAAGUUUCGGCGGAUUCCGAUGACAGCGGCGGACGGGUGAGUAACGCGUAGGCAAUCUGCCCCUCACACAGGGAUAGCCCGGCGAAAGCUGAAUUAAUACCUGAUGACGCGGCGAGGUCACAUGGCCUUGCCGCCAAAGAUUCAUCGGUGAGGGAUGAGCCUGCGUCUGAUUAGCUAGUUGGCGAGGUAACGGCCCACCAAGGCAACGAUCAGUAGCCGACCUGAGAGGGUAAUCGGCCACAUUGGAACUGAGACACGGUCCAAACUCCUACGGGAGGCAGCAGUGGGGAAUAUUGCACAAUGGGCGCAAGCCUGAUGCAGCAACGCCGCGUGAGCGAUGAAGGUCUUCGGAUCGUAAAGCUCUGUCCUUGGGGACGAAGAAGUGACGGUACCUGAGGAGGAAGCCCCGGCUAACUACGUGCCAGCAGCCGCGGUAAUACGUAGGGGGCGAGCGUUAUCCGGAAUUAUUGGGCGUAAAGAGUACGUAGGUGGUUCCGUAAGCGGGGGGUGAAAGCCCGGGGCUCAACUCCGGCGAGCCUUCCGAACUGCGGGACUUGAGUGCAGGAGGGGAAAGUGGAACUCCAUGUGUAGCGGUGAAAUGCGUAGAUAUAUGGAAGAACACCGGUGGCGAAGGCGACUUUCUGGACUGUAACUGACACUGAGGUACGAAAGCGUGGGGAGCAAACAGGAUUAGAUACCCUGGUAGUCCACGCCGUAAACGAUGAGCACUAGAUGUUGGGGCCGCAAGGCCUCGGCGUCGAAGUUAACGCAUUAAGUGCUCCGCCUGGGGAGUACGUACGCAAGUAUGAAACUCAAAGGAAUUGACGGGGACCCGCACAAGCAGCGGAGCAUGUGGUUUAAUUCGAAGCAACGCGAAGAACCUUACCAGGACUUGACAUCCCUCUGAAAGGCCGGCUAAACCCGGCCCCCCUUCGGGCAGAGGUGACAGGUGGUGCAUGGUUGUCGUCAGCUCGUGUCGUGAGAUGUUGGGUUAAGUCCCGCAACGAGCGCAACCCUUGUCUUUAGUUGCCAUCAGGCUAUGCUGGGCACUCUAGAGAGACUGCCGGGGACAACUCGGAGGAAGGUGGGGAUGACGUCAAAUCAUCAUGCCCCUUAUGUUCUGGGCUACACACGUGCUACAAUGGCUGGUACAGAGAGACGCAAUGCCGCGAGGCGGAGCCAAACUCUAAAGCCAGUCCCAGUUCGGACUGUAGGCUGCAACUCGCCUACACGAAGUCGGAGUUGCUAGUAAUCGCGGAUCAGCACGCCGCGGUGAAUGCGUUCCCGGGUCU
This 1331-nucleotide ribosomal RNA is filed under the name uncultured bacterium. RNAcentral describes it as "bacterial SSU rRNA". It matches the Rfam family "Bacterial small subunit ribosomal RNA", at positions 40 to 1381 of the family's 1533-position model. The record is from RNAcentral.